GACGAACGCUGGCGGCGUGCUUAACACAUGCAAGUCGAGCGGUAAGGCUCCUUCGGGAGUACACGAGCGGCGAACGGGUGAGUAACACGUGAGUAAUCUGCCCUUCACUUCGGGAUAACCACCGGAAACGGUGGCUAAUACCGAAUACGACCAGUCUUCGCAUGAGGUGCUGGUGGAAAGUCUUUUCGGUGAAGGAUGUGCUCGCGGCCUAUCAGCUUGUUGGUGGGGUAAUGGCCUACCAAGGCUUCGACGGGUAGCCGGCCUGAGAGGGUGACCGGCCAGACUGGGACUGAGACACGGCCCAGACUCCUACGGGGGGCAGCAGGGGGGAAUAUUGGACAAUGGGCGAAAGCCUGAUCCAGCAACGCCGCGUGAGGGAUGACGGCCUUCGGGUUGUAAACCUCUUUCAGUACCGACGAAGCGCCCUGUCGGGUGGUGACGGUAGGUACAGAAGAAGGACCGGCCAACUACGUG
RNAcentral lists this ribosomal RNA (474 nucleotides) under uncultured bacterium. Its description in RNAcentral is "partial 16S ribosomal RNA". It matches the Rfam family "Bacterial small subunit ribosomal RNA", at positions 28 to 507 of the family's 1533-position model. The record is from RNAcentral.